UGGGGAAUAUUGCACAAUGGAGGGAACUCUGAUGCAGCGACGCCGCGUGAGUGAUGAAGGAAUUCGUUUCGUAAAACUCUGUUCUAUGGGAAGAAAAGGACUGUACCAUAGGAGAAAGCUCCGGCUAAAUACGUGCCAGCAGCCGCGGUAAUACGUAUGGAGCGAGCGUUGUCCGGAAUUAUUGGGCGUAAAGGGUGCGCAGGCGGCUUUACAAGUUGGAUGUGAAAUAUUGUGGCUCAACCACAAACGUGCAUCCAAAACUGCAAAGCUUGAGUUGAGGAGAGGUAAGUGGAAUUCCUGGUGUAGCGGUGGAAUGCGUAGAUAUCAGGAGGAAUACCGGUGGCGAAGGCGACUUACUGGACUUAAACUGACGCUCAGGCACGAAAGCGUGGGGAGCAAACAGG
Molecule: ribosomal RNA, 404 nt
Filed under: Fusobacteriota bacterium
Lineage: Bacteria; Fusobacteriati; Fusobacteriota
Description: Fusobacteria bacterium partial 16S ribosomal RNA
Rfam family: Bacterial small subunit ribosomal RNA
Source: RNAcentral